GUGAGUGCUCUUGCUCUGUGAAGCAUUUAUUUCACUUACACGUAUUUAAGUGGGUACUUGAUCAAGAUGCAAAGUGUAUUUCUUACAAUAAGUGCCAGACGAAAAAUGAAAGCCGCUGCAGAGAACACCUUACGGCAACCUGCACAUAGGCUCUGACUCCCCAUUUUACAGAGGAAACUGAGACCCAGCACAGGACAGCUGCCCCGCCUGCCCUUUGUGAAUCCCCCCAUUCCACCAGCACCCGGCAACAGUAAGAGAACAGUAUUGGGUUGGAGAAAAGGGAGCACAGAAGGAGCAGACGAGAAGAUGGAAAAGUCUUCUAAAUAUAUCUGCCGAGAUUUACCAGUGCAUCUCUGCUCCUGGAGAAUCGCGUUGGUGAGGAGAGGGUGGACAGCGCGGCCCCAGGGUUAGCCCAGCUCCAGUCAGAGAGGUCUCCAGGCAUCGGGGCAUCCUGCCCUUGGACAGGAGACAGGACUCUCCCUCAGCACAACGCAGUCUUCCCCAGGGUGCACCUGUGUGGCGUUGGUGCCACCCCAGGUCUCCUGACCACCUCAGCGACCAUCUGGCCUUGUGGUCCCCCUGUACAGCACAGUUCUUCCCCCCCCACCACCACUUCCCAGGUCCAGAACACGACUUGCCUAAGGUCACAGGUUCUGUGCCUCGGAACUCUCGCCACAAUCUUCUGUGUGUGCUGGAGGUGGGGACGCGCUCCUCACCAACUGGAGCCGAUUCUACCUUGGAAGGGGGAGCUGGGUCCUGAGCUCCAGGAUCAGGGCAGGGGGCAGUUCCCGGAGACCUCUGAGAGCCCACUGGGCCCCCGGGUGUACAGCUGGGUGGUUCCCUGAGGACAUCAGUCACUGCAAAUGCCUGGGCAGGGCAGAGGCUAAAAAUACACGUGGCGCACAGGUCCAGGAAGGCUGGCCCUGCCACUCAUUCCUUGGUGUCCUGCCCAAAGUGGAGGGCACUUGUGAAAGGUCUGAGAGGGGGAGCAGUUGUGUGGAGCCUCAACUUGGCCCGGGAGUCCAUUGGUGUGGUCUGUUCUCCGUGCGAGGGCACACCCCUCCCUGAACAGCACCUCCACCCUAAACAGCUGUCCACAGUGCCCACCCGCUCGGUCAUCACCAAGCCUUAAACUCCUGAGCCUGGGGAUGUAGAGAGGGGAGCUGAGAAGCCGAAAAACCCUGGGCAGGUUGGACUCCCUGCCUCAGUUUCUCCUUCUGCCAGAUUGAGAAGACAGCUGUCCUGCCCAUCUCACUGCUGGAUGUGAGGACCCCAGAAGAUAAUGCCUGUGAUGGGCUUUUGAGAGGCGCUAGGGGCCCGUGCAUGGGAGACGGUGGUCCCUGCAGAGGACCACAGAAGCAGCUGGCCGGCUUUCCACUGUACCCAUGAGCCACGUACCAAGCCCUGUGUGUUCGGAGGACAGCGUCCCUUAUUAAGGACGGGUGUGAAGAUAAGGACCCAGGACCCGGCCUGGGGUUCCAUCGCAGCCCGUGUCCUGUAGCAGGUGAGGGGCACGUGGCCACAGAAGGCCACUUUGUGACUGAUGUGAACCUGAGAAAGAAUGAUGGGCCCAGCCACUGAUUUCACAGGUAUCAUUGCUUAGUAGGAGCAAAACAAAACAGCAGACGCUCACUGGAGCGUUCUCACAGCAGAGCUGGAGACCCCCACGACCCGUGACCUCUAGCAGGAGACUGGGUCAGCCUGGGCACCGCACGUGAGCAGACCAUGGCCGCACAGACAGGGCCACGAGGGAAAGACACACAGAGAACAAACGCCCUGUACAGAGUCACAGGUCCCCGCAACGUACACAGGCUGUUAGAGCAACGUGUGAGGGGAGCCUGGUCUUCGUCUGAUGCUGUCUGGGGACAGGGUGUCCACGUCUCAGCAGGGCUGUUCGUUCAUUUGGGGAUGAAAGGCACUUCCCUGCUCAGAGGAGCGCCUUGGCACCAGGCGUCCACGUGCUCUGUCAGCAGUCACCCAAGGGGCCGACUUCCAUACUCAGAUGAGCAGGGCAGAUAGAGGUUUCUUUUACCACAGGCCUUGGGAGAGGACUGGCGGCCUGCUCCUGGGAAAGCUGCGCUGGGGUUGCUGCACAAGCAGCCAGCCUUUUAUCCCAGUCAGUCAUGUAGCACAGGGGUCCCCGACCCCC
This is a long non-coding RNA of Balaenoptera musculus (blue whale), 2149 nucleotides long. RefSeq lists it as uncharacterized. The transcript is spliced from 3 exons. NCBI's taxonomy places the organism in Eukaryota, Metazoa, Chordata, Mammalia, Artiodactyla, Balaenopteridae. The record is from RefSeq and is a predicted model, not a curated record.